This 568-nucleotide ribosomal RNA is filed under the name Colostethus panamansis. RNAcentral describes it as "partial 16S ribosomal RNA". It matches the Rfam family "Bacterial large subunit ribosomal RNA", at positions 1817 to 2597 of the family's 2925-position model. The record is from RNAcentral. Lineage: Eukaryota; Metazoa; Chordata; Amphibia; Anura; Dendrobatidae.
CGCCUCUUGCCUCCCAUAAGAGGUCCAGCCUGCCCAGUGACUCUGUUCAACGGCCGCGGUAUCCUAACCGUGCGAAGGUAGCGUAAUCACUUGUUCUUUAAAUGAGGACUAGUAUGAAUGGCCCCACGAAGGCUACGCUGUCUCCUUUUUCUAAUCAAUGAAACUAAUCUCCUCGUGAAGAAGCGAGAAUAAUUUUAUAAGACGAGAAGACCCUAUGGAGCUUUAAACAACUGAAAAAUUGCAUACUUUCAUCUCCUACCUCCCGAGACUUUCCUUUUAUUCAAGCACUUUUAUUUCCAGUUUUAGGUUGGGGUGACCACGGAGCAAAAUCUAACCUCCACGACGAAAAAGGCCCUCUUUUAGCUAAAAGCUACUCCUUUAAGCAUCAGCAAACUGACUUCUUUUGACCCAAUAAAUUGAUCAACGAACCAAGUUACCCUAGGGAUAACAGCGCAAUCUACUUUAAGAGCUCAUAUCGACAGGUAGGUUUACGACCUCGAUGUUGGAUCAGGGUAUCCUAGUGGUGCAGCCGCUACUAAAGGUUCGUUUGUUCAACGAUUAAAACCCU